This 465-nucleotide ribosomal RNA is filed under the name uncultured Selenomonas sp. Its description in RNAcentral is "bacterial SSU rRNA". It matches the Rfam family "Bacterial small subunit ribosomal RNA", at positions 338 to 795 of the family's 1533-position model. Lineage: Bacteria; Bacillati; Bacillota; Negativicutes; Selenomonadales; Selenomonadaceae. The record is from RNAcentral.
CCUACGGGAGGCAGCAGUGGGGAAUCUUCCGCAAUGGGCGCAAGCCUGACGGAGCAACGCCGCGUGAGUGAAGAAGGUCUUCGGAUCGUAAAGCUCUGUUGACGGGGACGAACGUGCGUGAUGCGAACAGUGUCAUGCAAUGACGGUACCUGUCGAGGAAGCCACGGCUAACUACGUGCCAGCAGCCGCGGUAAUACGUAGGUGGCGAGCGUUGUCCGGAAUCAUUGGGCGUAAAGGGAGCGCAGGCGGGCAAGUAAGUCUUUCUUAAAAGUGCGGGGCUCAACCCCGUGAUGGGAAAGAAACUACAUGUCUUGAGUACAGGAGAGGAAAGCGGAAUUCCCAGUGUAGCGGUGAAAUGCGUAGAUAUUGGGAGGAACACCAGUGGCGAAGGCGGCUUUCUGGACUGCAACUGACGCUGAGGCUCGAAAGCCAGGGGAGCGAACGGGAUUAGAUACCCCAGUAGUC